CACACAGAUUACUCCACACAGCAGACAGCAGUAACAGGAAACAGACAGACCUGACAGGUUCGCUGCCAUGGCCGACAGAAAAGCCGUUUUCCACAAAUUGCAUUAUGCUGGUUCAGAAUCUCCAUCCACCGGUCUCAGCCAAAGGGUGGCGUCUUUUUUCUUGGCGGCACACUGCACAUGGGCGCCUUCACGAUUUCAAAAGUGUGUGAGAUUGCUGCGAGUCAGCAAUUUGAUUGACACGCCUGUCAGCUACUGCCCUAUCCACGAAGAGGCCUGUUAUUGCUAUGGACUGCACCGGUAGGCGUGCCCAUGGACAGACGGGGUCAAGGAGUGCUCAAGUGUGAUGCCUUCGCAGCCUCCAAGUGGGAUUGGAGUGAUGUACAAUCCCCUGCAGGAUUCCACAGCUCACUCCAAGUUCCAGACAAGUAAUCAUUUCUAUUGAAGUGCACUAACCGUACAGACCAUGUUACUAUUAUUUUAACUUGGAUGCCCCAGAAAAAGAAUUCUAUUUGUUUUAGAGGUACUGUAUUUACAUCUUUACUAUUGUGGCUAUCUUUCUCAAGCUUUUCCAGUAGUAAAUACUCUCACUUUUAUUAUUGCAUUUUUAAAAUGAUGGUAAAUGGUGCAAGGCUAUCACUUGCUAACAAUUAGCACAUUAGCAACUGACAGCUGGAUCAUCCAAUUAGAUCACAGGUGUUCUGUGAAUCAGAUGAUUUCAUUGAUUUUCUCCUAAGACUGUAUUUCAUUAAAUCAGUAUAUCAUAACUUUUGUUACAGGAAUUUGUACCUAGAACUUUCUCUUUGGAAUUUGUUCUGCCCUCUUGUGCAAGGGUUUCCUCUAACAGUUCACCAACAUGCAGGACCAGGUUAUCCAGAAACUCUUAAUUGAACUUUUCAUGUUUCCUAACAACAGCUGGGUUCAGCCCCAUCACAUGUGACCGCUGCAUUUGUAAGUUAGUACCAGCCCAUAAAUCAACAAUUAAUCACGAUUAUAGAGACUUGGACGCAUCAUUUAGUUGAAACCCCACUGACGCCAGCACUAGCGAUGUGCACACACUAGAAGAGAAGGCAACACAAAUAAAAAUGUUAACAUUUAUUGCUUAUUCUGAAUACUGCGUUGAGAGCAAAAGCAUUCAGAGUAUACACAGAAAUUAUACAACUGUAUAUGGUUUCACAAAGGCAGUGAACACAUGACUGUAUUACAAUCUAAAAAAAUUCUACUUUACAGAAAUUUAAAAUCCUAAAUAUCAAAAAGUACAGCUGCAGAAACAGGUGUAGAACUGGAACCAGAAACUGCUCUGGGCAUCAGUGAAAACGACGUGGUGACAUCACAAUACAAAGCGGAGGUCAUCUUUGUACUUACAGCUGGUUUUUCGGAAACAGAAACUGGCAGAUGGAACAAAAAA
This is a long non-coding RNA of Cynoglossus semilaevis (tongue sole), 1405 nucleotides long. RefSeq lists it as uncharacterized. The transcript is spliced from 3 exons. The record is from RefSeq and is a predicted model, not a curated record. NCBI's taxonomy places the organism in Eukaryota, Metazoa, Chordata, Actinopteri, Pleuronectiformes, Cynoglossidae.